AAUACCCUAUUAUUUUGAAUGAAAUUAUUUGAUGCUAGAUUAGUAGUAGUUAUGGUCUUGAAAAUUAAAGAAUUUGGCGGUAUUUUAGUCUAUUCAGAGGAACCUGUCCUGUAAUUGAUGGUCCACGAUUUUUUUUACUUAUUUUUUUAGUUUGCAUAUCGCCGUAGUUUGAACAUUUUUUAAAAAUUGUAAUGUUCAAUAUUUAUUUAAAUGGAAUAAAUCAGGUCAAGGUGUAGCUUAUAAAUAAGUAGAGAUGGGUUACAAUAAAUUUAUUUAAAUGGAUUAAUAAAUGAAAUUUUAUUAUGAAGGUGGAUUUGAGGGUAAUUUUAUUUA
Molecule: ribosomal RNA, 333 nt
Filed under: Brachyderes rugatus calvus
Lineage: Eukaryota; Metazoa; Arthropoda; Insecta; Coleoptera; Curculionidae
Description: partial 12S ribosomal RNA
Source: RNAcentral